GAUGAACGCUGGCGGCGUGCCUAAUACAUGCAAGUCGAGCGAGCAGACGAGGAGCUUGCUCCUCUGACGUUAGCGGCGGACGGGUGAGUAACACGUGGAUAACCUACCUAUAAGACUGGGAUAACUUCGGGAAACCGGAGCUAAUACCGGAUAAUAUAUUGAACCGCAUGGUUCAAUAGUGAAAGACGGUUUUGCUGUCACUUAUAGAUGGAUCCGCGCCGCAUUAGCUAGUUGGUAAGGUAACGGCUUACCAAGGCAACGAUGCGUAGCCGACCUGUGAGGGUGAUCGGCCACACUGGAACUGAGACACGGUCCAGACUCCUACGGGAGGCAGCAGUAGGGAAUCUUCCGCAAUGGGCGAAAGCCUGACGGAGCAACGCCGCGUGAGUGAUGAAGGUCUUCGGAUCGUAAAACUCUGUUAUUAGGGAAGAACAAAUGUGUAAGUAACUAUGCACGUCUUGACGGUACCUAAUCAGAAAGCCACGGCUAACUACGUG
This 497-nucleotide ribosomal RNA is filed under the name uncultured bacterium. RNAcentral's name for it is "partial 16S ribosomal RNA". It matches the Rfam family "Bacterial small subunit ribosomal RNA", at positions 28 to 507 of the family's 1533-position model. The record is from RNAcentral.